RNAcentral lists this ribosomal RNA (318 nucleotides) under uncultured eukaryote. RNAcentral describes it as "partial 18S ribosomal RNA". It matches the Rfam family "Eukaryotic small subunit ribosomal RNA", at positions 1470 to 1796 of the family's 1831-position model. The record is from RNAcentral.
CCCUUAGAUGUUCUGGGCUGCACGCGUGCUACACUGAUUAUUUCAACAAGUGUUUUAACUGGAGAGUUUGCGUAAUCCUGAAAUGUUAUCGUGAUGGGAGUAGAGUAUUGUAUUUGUUAAUCUUUAACGAGGAAUUCCUAGUAAGUGUAGGUUUAUAAGUUGUUCUGAUUACGUCCCUGCCCUUUGUACACACCGCCCGUCGCUCCUACCGAUUGAAUGCUCAGGUGAGCCAUUCGGACCUUCAUCAUGCCGGUUUCCGGUUUUGAUGAGGGAAAGUCUUGCGAACCUUAUCAUUUAGAGGAAGGAGAAGUCGUAACA